ACUGCUCAGUAACACGUGGACAACCUACCCUCAGCACGGGGAUAAACCCGGGAAACUGGGUAUAAUACCCGAUAGUUCUGGGAUGCUGGAAUGCUUCCAGGACGAAAGCUCCGGCGACUGAGGAUGGGUCUGCGGCCUAUCAGGUAGUAGUGGGUGUAAUGUACCUACUAGCCUACGACGGGUACGGGUCGUGAGAGCGAGAGCCCGGAGAUGGAUUCUGAGACACGAAUCCAGGCCCUACGGGGUGCAGCAGGCGCGAAAACUUUACAAUGCUGGCAACAGCGAUAAGGGGACCUCGAGUGCCAGGAUACAAUCUUGGCUGUCGUAAUGCCUAAAAAGCAUUGCAUAGCAAGGGCCGGGCAAGACCGGUGCCAGCCGCCGCGGUAACACCGGCGGCUCGAGUGGUAACCGCUAUUAUUGGGUCUAAAGGGUCUGUAGCCGGCCGGAUAAGUCUUUUGGGAAAUCCAGCUGCUUAACAGUUGGGCUUUCAGAAGAUACUGUUCGGCUCGAGGCCGGGAGAGGUGAGAGGUACUUCAGGGGUAGGGGUGAAAUCUUGUAAUCCUUGAAGGACCACCAGUGGCGAAGGCGUCUCACCAGAACGGUCCUGACGGCAAGGGACGAAAGCUAGGGGCACGAACCGGAUUAGAUACCCGGGUAGUCCUAGCCGUAAACGAUACUCGCUAGGUGUCAGCCACGGUGCGACCGUGGUUGGUGCCGUAGGGAAGCCGUGAAGCGAGCCACCUGGGAAGUACGGCCGCAAGGCUGAAACUUAAAGGAAUUGGCGGGGGAGCAC
RNAcentral lists this ribosomal RNA (793 nucleotides) under uncultured archaeon. RNAcentral describes it as "bacterial SSU rRNA". It matches the Rfam family "Archaeal small subunit ribosomal RNA", at positions 85 to 879 of the family's 1478-position model. The record is from RNAcentral.